Molecule: ribosomal RNA, 253 nt
Filed under: uncultured bacterium
Lineage: Bacteria
Description: partial 16S ribosomal RNA
Rfam family: Bacterial small subunit ribosomal RNA
Source: RNAcentral
UACGUAGGGGGCUAGCGUUGUCCGGAAUCAUUGGGCGUAAAGAGCGCGUAGGCGGCCAGAUAAGUCCGGUGUGAAAGUCAAAGGCUCAACCUUUGAAUGCCGCUGGAAACUGUCUGGCUAGAGUCCGGGAGGGGCGAGUGGAAUUCCUGGUGUAGCGGUGAAAUGCGCAGAUAUCAGGAGGAACACCUAUUGCGAAGGCAGCUCGCUGGGACGUAACUGACGCUGAGACGCGAAAGCGUGGGGAGCAAACAGG